UCUCCGUUGGUGAACCAGCGGAGGGAUCAUUACUGGAAUCGCAAGAACCCACAACCCCUGUGAACCUACCGAAACGUUGCCUCGGCGGGCGCCCGACCCCGCGCCGGGCGCUGAGCCCGCCGGCGGCCCCCUACUCUUGUAUCUGCAGCGUGGCAUCUCAAAGUCCCAGAAAACAAGUAAAAACUUUCAACAACGGAUCUCUUGGCUCUA
RNAcentral lists this unclassified non-coding RNA (210 nucleotides) under plant metagenome. RNAcentral describes it as "partial contains small subunit ribosomal RNA, internal transcribed spacer 1, and 5.8S ribosomal RNA". The record is from RNAcentral.